RNAcentral lists this ribosomal RNA (301 nucleotides) under uncultured bacterium. RNAcentral describes it as "partial 16S ribosomal RNA". It matches the Rfam family "Bacterial small subunit ribosomal RNA", at positions 509 to 807 of the family's 1533-position model. The record is from RNAcentral.
CAGUAGCCGCGGGAAUACGUAGGUGGCAAGCGUUGUCCGGAAUUAUUGGGCGUAAAGGGCUCGCAGGCGGUUUCUUAAGUCUGAUGUGAAAGCCCCCGGCUCAACCGGGGAGGGUCAUUGGAAACUGGGAAACUUGAGUGCAGAAGAGGAGAGUGGAAUUCCACGCGUAGCGGUGAAAUGCGUAGAGAUGUGGAGGAACACCAGUGGCGAAGGCGACUCUCUGGUCUGUAACUGACGCUGAGGAGCGAAAGCGUGGGGAGCGAACAGGAUUAGAUACCCGCGUAGUCCCUGUCUCUUAUAC